UUCCUCAUUUUUCCCAUUUUCCCGAGUUUUCCCUUAUUUUCUCUUAUUUCUUUGUUUUUCUUGGUUUUUAAAGAUUUGAACAAUAUCAACGAAUCAAAAUUAUUUUUUUAUUUCACUUUUGAUAAAAAAGGAGUAACAUCACACACAACAUUGUCUGGAUAUGAAAUCAUUUGACAGGACGGGAUGGUGGGCGGAGAAAUUUUCCUCGAUCCUUUUACUUGUCCCUCAAAUGUGUACCAUGUGCAAUUUACUCCUAUUUCAUCAUUUUUUUUCUCACUUUAGCUUUGCCAUUCGUAAAUUGACUUUUGUUUGCUAUCCGCAAAUGAAUUGAACUGAAGAACGCGUCCUAGAAGAAAUAAAU
Daphnia magna is the source of this 361-nucleotide long non-coding RNA. RefSeq lists it as uncharacterized. The transcript is spliced from 2 exons. Lineage: Eukaryota; Metazoa; Arthropoda; Branchiopoda; Diplostraca; Daphniidae. The record is from RefSeq and is a predicted model, not a curated record.